This 25-nucleotide non-coding RNA is filed under the name Mus musculus (house mouse). RNAcentral also lists the same sequence under 1 other name. The record is from RNAcentral. Lineage: Eukaryota; Metazoa; Chordata; Mammalia; Rodentia; Muridae.
CUCUCAGAGAAGGUGACAGUGAUCC